Molecule: transfer RNA, 93 nt
Filed under: Stieleria marina
Lineage: Bacteria; Pseudomonadati; Planctomycetota; Planctomycetia; Pirellulales; Pirellulaceae
Description: Planctomycetes bacterium K23_9 tRNA-Gln
Source: RNAcentral
CGUUCGUUUGGGUGGACGGCACGCCUUCCGAUUUGUUCGGUACGGUGCGUUUAGAUCGCAAUCAAUUCUCGAUCACAAAUCGGGAACGAGCGA